RNAcentral lists this long non-coding RNA (2440 nucleotides) under Bos mutus (wild yak). RNAcentral's name for it is "lncRNA (ENSBMUG00000013470.1)". Lineage: Eukaryota; Metazoa; Chordata; Mammalia; Artiodactyla; Bovidae. The record is from RNAcentral.
AGACUGGGGUGGGGAGGAGAUGGGGGCGCACGGGGCAUAAGGGGAUGGGCGAGCGGCUCUCCCGGCGCAGGAAACCGGAAAUCAGUGCCCUCUCCCUGCCUUCGGCCUCCGCCUUGGAGUGUAUCCCAGAGGAGGGAUACACAACCCCCCACACCCCAGGUCGCGCUGUCCGAGGAGAGGGGCUCCCUUCCCGGCCCUCCCCACAGCGCUCCCCCAAAAUCUGAUUUUCUCACUCCCACUACCGCUCCCUCCAGUCCCCACUUCUAGCAGCUGCCACGGAGAAAGGGGAAAGGAAGCCGAGGGGACUCCAGUUUCCUUUGGUCCUGGUCUGGAGUUGCAUCUCGCCAUCGGGGCACCUUGAGCGUGGUCUUGAAACUCCGCUACCCCACCCUCCAGCCCAAUUCGGACGCGGUUGGGUCAGUCUCGCAAGAUGAGGGUGCAGGGCGAGGCCCGGGCCGGUGCGAAGGAGUCCCCGGCUGGGCCAGAGAUGCGCUGGCUCCCGCGCCUCGGCCGAGCCCCUGGAUUCCAGGGCGCAGAGGGCCUCGGCAGCGAAGGUUCCCGUCGUCAAGAAUUUCGGGGGCAGGGGGCGGCUUUGGAGGUUUCCGCCGCCGUCCUCCCCACUGGUGACUUCUCCACCUGUAGGCGGUGGCGGAGCGAGACGGCGGCGGGUGGGAGGAACGGCUUUCCAAAAUCCCCUUUUACAUCUCUGAUAAGAGUAACCCUGCCGCGCUGCGCCACCCUCGGCUCCCAAGGGAGCCCCUUCCUCGGAAAAGGAAAGGUGAACCUCCUCCAGGCUGCAGAACGGCCUGGGCUGGAACCGGCACCAGAAAAGACUGGGGGACCGAGGCAGCGGUGGAGACGCGAAGGGGCUGAGGAGCGCGCCUCAGCUUUCCCUUGCCAGCCUCCCUUUUGGCCCGGAUUCCUCGGGGCUUCUCUAGAGGAAAUGCUUAUGCGGUCCUCAGUGUUCGCCACCCAGGGCUCCGCGCCCGAGGCCCACUCAUCCCUAAAACGUCGCAGAGCUGGGGGGCGCAUGCCGCAGAAGAGAAGCCUGGGGUUUCCCCAGCCCAGGAGAGAGAAGGCUCGGUCUUCCUCCCCACCCCCGCCCGAAGUGUCAAGUUUCCUCCAGGGGAGGGGGUGGCUCGCGAGGGCUGCCUUCUCGCGCGGCCCAAGCUGCGAAGUCAACUCUCUCCAUCGGGGGCCAAGGCCGUGCGCGUGCACACACUCAUACACACUCACACUCUGGCACAUUCACACACUCACUCGUGCACAGACACACAGGCUCUCCGACGUGCUUCCCAGGCGGAGGCAGAGACCGCGCUGCGAGCCGCGCGCACUUUUCCAGCUUUCCGACGGGCGGGGCACUCGGGGCGGGGCGCGGGCAGCGGAGAAAUUGAUAACAGAUUCCGCGGAUUACUGCGGAUCUCUUUGUUAGAGGAGAAGCCACACAAACCGAUCCCACUCUCGGCCCGACGACCUCGGGGAGAAGCCACUCGUUCAUAGAACUGGGGCCAAAGUGGGAGCGGGGCAGUUGGCUUCCGCGACGCGGGUCUCUAAGCCCGGGGCUGGGAGUAGGCCGGAGGUGUCCCGAAGGGAAUCUGCCGGGAGAGCCCCGGGAGUCACAUCUCCACUUAACCCGCGCGCUUGCCCGGAAACAGCUUGGCCCUCUUCCCGCUCCAAUCCCCCGUGCAACCCAGAAAAGGCCCCACAAGUUUAAAGACUGAAGGAACCCACAGCCAACUCACUGAUACAUCGAACUGUAGGGUAAACGUCCCUGCCUGUUUACCAAGAGAACUGAUCCGAAAAGAGGACAAAAUAAGACCUUUCCGGAGACCGUAACACGCAGGGUAAAAGUUCUGGGCAGAAGCUGAAUUCACCGAAGACCAGGCUAAAAAUUUUGAACAAUUUCAGGGUCCGAAGAAAUGGACUUUGUAAGGAUACUUGGCAUCUGUUUCUAGUGCGCGUCUGAGAGGAGGGCUGCGGGCAUUUGAGAGGUUCUAGCGCAAGGGAGGGGUGAGGUGGGGGUAGGGCGUUUGCGCGCCCUUGUUUCCAGCCCCAGAACAGAUCCACGUAGAGUAGGCUUAUAUUGUCUCUCCUCCAGAGCCUUCCCGCUGGAUUAAAAGUGUCCCUAACCCUUCUUUAUCAACUGGUGUGCGGGCCGAGAAUCCUCUAAACUCCGUUACGCGAGUUUAGAGGACUUUGGGGGGCGACAGAAAGCCCCGGAAAGCACGCUCAAGUCGGAGGCCAGAAGCGCCUAAAAAGAAAUUCCCUCGAGGCAGGGAGAAAAUUCUCGCCCCUCAGCCACUGGCGCUACCUCACUCGGUCCGGACACCCCCUUCCACUUCACGUCCAGCCCCAGCCCCUAGACCCUAGUCUCUGGGAGCGGAAAUGAUGGAGAAACUGGGAGAAUAAAUUAGAUUGACCUGGGCUCGCGGUGGCGAAA